UGCUCAGGACGAACGCUGGCGGCGUGCUUAACACAUGCAAGUCGAGCGAGGUUCAUCUAGUGGCAACACUGGGGAAGACCUAGCGGCGAACGGGUGAGUAACACGUGAGAAACCUGCCCCGAAGUCUGGGAUAACCCGAGGAAACUCGAGCUAAUACCGGAUGUCUCCCAUUGAUCGCAUGAUUGGUGGAAGAAAGAAUUUCGCUUCGGGAGGGUCUCGCGGCCUAUCAGCUUGUUGGUGGGGUAACGGCCCACCAAGGCGUCGACGGGUAGCUGGUCUGAGAGGACGAUCAGCCACACUGGGACUGAGACACGGCCCAGACUCCUACGGGAGGCAGCAGUGGGAAUAUUGCGCAAUGGGCGAAAGCCUGACGCAGCAACGCCGCGUGCGGGAUGAAGGCCUUCGGGUUGUAAACCGCUUUCAGUGGGGACGAAAUUGACGGUACCCACAGAAGAAGCCCCGGCCAACUACGUGCCAGCAGCCGCGGUAACACGUAGGGGGCGAGCGUUGUCCGGAUUUAUUGGGCGUAAAGAGCUCGUAGGCGGCUCAGUAAGUCAGGUGUGAAAACUCCAGGCUCAACCUGGAGACGCCACCUGAUACUGCUGUGGCUAGAGUCCGGUAGGGGAGCAUGGAAUUCCUGGUGUAGCGGUGAAAUGCGCAGAUAUCAGGAGGAACACCAGUGGCGAAGGCGGUGCUCUGGGCCGGAACUGACGCUGAGGAGCGAAAGCGUGGGGAGCAAACAGGAUUAGAUACCCUGGUAGUCCACGCCGUAAACGUUGGGUACUAGGUGUGGGGCCUUAUCAACGGGCUCUGUGCCGAAGCUAACGCAUUAAGUACCCCGCCUGGGGAGUACGGCCGCAAGGCUAAAACUCAAAGGAAUUGACGG
RNAcentral lists this ribosomal RNA (886 nucleotides) under uncultured bacterium. RNAcentral describes it as "bacterial SSU rRNA". It matches the Rfam family "Bacterial small subunit ribosomal RNA", at positions 21 to 916 of the family's 1533-position model. The record is from RNAcentral.